RNAcentral lists this non-coding RNA (46 nucleotides) under Schistosoma mattheei. The record is from RNAcentral. Lineage: Eukaryota; Metazoa; Platyhelminthes; Trematoda; Strigeidida; Schistosomatidae.
ACUCAGCUGACAAGUCCCACACAGGGACGAAACCCGCGUCCUAAGU